Zea mays is the source of this 74-nucleotide non-coding RNA. The record is from Rfam. NCBI's taxonomy places the organism in Eukaryota, Viridiplantae, Streptophyta, Magnoliopsida, Poales, Poaceae.
GGCCUAUUAGCUCAGUUGGUUAGAGCGUCGUGCUAAUAACACGAAGGUCGCAGGUUAGAGACCUGCAUGGGCCA